GCCUCUUGCCAUUCUUGCUUGCUCUCAAAGGCUAAGCAGAACUGUGCCUAGUUAGAACCUGGAAGGGAGACCGCCUGGGAAUGCUGUGUACCCUAGGCU
Molecule: ribosomal RNA, 99 nt
Filed under: Salvator merianae (Argentine black and white tegu)
Lineage: Eukaryota; Metazoa; Chordata; Lepidosauria; Squamata; Teiidae
Source: RNAcentral